RNAcentral lists this long non-coding RNA (726 nucleotides) under Nicotiana benthamiana. RNAcentral describes it as "long non-coding RNA (NBEN_LNC013136)". The record is from RNAcentral. Lineage: Eukaryota; Viridiplantae; Streptophyta; Magnoliopsida; Solanales; Solanaceae.
ACACCAUCAGUUGAACAUUAUAAUGGAAUGGGAUAACACAUGAAUUCAAUUAACACAUCACCACUACUGAUAUGUACAUCCCAUUGAAAAUUUCUAGUUUCCACCCUAGGCCUGGUAUUUUAACAGAUCCAAGCAGAUACAACAACAAAAUGCACUGGUUUUAGCAUAACCAAAACAUGGCUUAACCCUUUGUACAAACACCAACUCAGUUUCAUCUACUAAUUGACCAAAGCUAAAAGAGAAAAAAAUCAAAUGUAGCAAAGCAAACCAAACUAGCGGCAGAGUCUGAUAACUUUCAAAGAUAGAAAACUCCAUAUUUAACUAAAUACUAUGACAUAAAUUGUAAACUCAUUUAAAUAACUCCAUCUUCUUCCAUUUCAUAUGUCACAGUGAUGAGGAAUACCUGGUGACAACAGCAAAACAAACAGAACCAAAGAAAAUGAGGAAUCAGCAAUAUACAUCAGCAGAAAAUAGUACCAGCAACACCAAUUCAAACCAGGAAGAUGAAUAUGAGCAGGGGAAAACUGUCUCAAUCGAGCAAUAACCAAGAAACUUCAAAACCAAGCUUCAAACAACCAAAUCUAAUCCAUUCCAACACUAGAUCAACCAGGCAAUCUUCAGAAAUUGAAAGUCUACCAAAAUUCUAGAAAGAAAUGCCAUGGAAGAGUAAUUUUUCCUUUUUUUGUGUGUGUGUUCUCAGCCGUUUUGAUUUUUUCCAGUUUUUUC